This 292-nucleotide long non-coding RNA is filed under the name Eucalyptus grandis. Its description in RNAcentral is "long non-coding RNA (EGRA_LNC006866)". The record is from RNAcentral. Lineage: Eukaryota; Viridiplantae; Streptophyta; Magnoliopsida; Myrtales; Myrtaceae.
GGUAAUUCCCAACAAAGGAACAGGUCUAGUAAGCCCACACACGAACCGCGCUUCUCGAACUCGGAGCCAUUUGGCGUGCCAUUGGAAAUCUUCGGGUCCAGGGUUGGUUAUGAAAGCUAACCACUCAGAAUAAUGAUAAUCGGGGGCAAAUGCCUUCCUAUCUUUAAACUUCAGGAUAGGGUGGCUAGAGUCAGAGAUGUCGUUCACAGUCAUUAAGCUACCAAACCCUUUAACGUGAGAGAAAAACCAAAUUUGCAAGAGUUCAGGAGGAGCAUGGAAAAUUUUGUUUUUG